This 253-nucleotide ribosomal RNA is filed under the name uncultured bacterium. RNAcentral describes it as "partial 16S ribosomal RNA". It matches the Rfam family "Bacterial small subunit ribosomal RNA", at positions 524 to 776 of the family's 1533-position model. The record is from RNAcentral.
UACGUAGGGAGCAAGCGUUGUCCGGAAUCAUUGGGCGUAAAGCGCGCGUAGGCGGCCUCAUAAGUCCGUUGUGAAAGUCAAAGGCUCAACCUUUGAAAGCCGAUGGAUACUGUGAGGCUAGAGUACGGAAGAGGCGAGUGGAAUUCCUGGUGUAGCGGUGGAAUGCGCAGAUAUCAGGAGGAACACCAAUAGCGAAGGCAGCUCGCUGGGACGUUACUGACGCUAAGGCGCGAAAGCGUGGGGAGCAAACAGG